GAUCCCGUAGCUCAACCGGAUAGAGCAACAGAUUUCUAAUCUGUAGGUUGCAGGUUCGAGUCCUGCCGGGAUCGCCA
This 77-nucleotide transfer RNA is filed under the name Alphaproteobacteria bacterium HGW-Alphaproteobacteria-12. Its description in RNAcentral is "tRNA-Arg". It matches the Rfam family "tRNA". Rfam says of the family: Transfer RNA (tRNA) molecules are approximately 80 nucleotides in length. The record is from RNAcentral. Lineage: Bacteria; Pseudomonadati; Pseudomonadota; Alphaproteobacteria. RNAcentral also lists the same sequence under 1 other name.